UACGUAGGGCGCGAGCGUUGUCCGGAAUCAUUGGGCGUAAAGAGCUCGUAGGCGGCCUGUCGCGUCUGCUGUGAAAUCCCGGGGCUCAACCCCGGGCGUGCAGUGGAUACGGGCUGGCUGGAGGCAGGCAGGGAAGAACGGAAUUCCCGGUGUAGCGGUGAAAUGCGCAGAUAUCGGGAGGAACACCGGUGGCGAAGGCGGUUCUCUGGGCCUGUACUGACGCUGAGGAGCGAAGGCGUGGGGAGCGAUCCGG
RNAcentral lists this ribosomal RNA (253 nucleotides) under uncultured bacterium. RNAcentral describes it as "partial 16S ribosomal RNA". It matches the Rfam family "Bacterial small subunit ribosomal RNA", at positions 524 to 776 of the family's 1533-position model. The record is from RNAcentral.